RNAcentral lists this ribosomal RNA (301 nucleotides) under uncultured bacterium. Its description in RNAcentral is "partial 16S ribosomal RNA". It matches the Rfam family "Bacterial small subunit ribosomal RNA", at positions 509 to 807 of the family's 1533-position model. The record is from RNAcentral.
CAGUAGCCGCGGGAAUACGAAGGGGGCUAGCGUUGUUCGGAUUUACUGGGCGUAAAGCGCACGUAGGCGGACUUUUAAGUCAGGGGUGAAAUCCCGGGGCUCAACCCCGGAACUGCCUUUGAUACUGGAAGUCUUGAGUAUGGUAGAGGUGAGUGGAAUUCCGAGUGUAGAGGUGAAAUUCGUAAAUAUUCGGAGGAACACCAGUGGCGAAGGCGGCUCACUGGACCAUUACUGACGCUGAGGUGCGAAAGCGUGGGGAGCAAACAGGAUUAGAUACCCCCGUAGUCCCUGUCUCUUAUAC